Long non-coding RNA from Oreochromis niloticus (Nile tilapia), 751 nucleotides. RefSeq lists it as uncharacterized. NCBI's taxonomy places the organism in Eukaryota, Metazoa, Chordata, Actinopteri, Cichliformes, Cichlidae. The transcript is spliced from 4 exons. The record is from RefSeq and is a predicted model, not a curated record.
UGUGCAGUGCUAGGCUAGGUGUAGCAAAUCAUUGCUGUGUUAUCUAAUAGCACCAAACUAAUAGAGCUAUCACAUAACUGAGAAACUUGUGUAGCUUAUUACAAAUGCAUGAAACCACAUAUUACCUUAAUGAAGACAGUAAUCUUUAAUAAGGUGUAGAAAAAAAGAGAAGAAUUUUUGUUUAUAUUCCAGCUAUGAUAAACAAAGAAGUGUACUGAAUCUUUUGGACUACACAGAGUGAUGUAGUAUUGACUGUGAUGCUGAUCUGAGUUGUCUCAUUCUGUAUUUUUGUGCUUUGUCUUUUGUUACACAGAGUGAAAGAGAUCUUUGGUUUUGCCUUUGCUGACUGCUGAUCUGAUCGUCUCAAAUCUGGUGACCUUUUGCAGAAAGCCCUCUCCCUCUAUCAUUAACAAGCCAUUCAGCCUGUCCUAUCACUCUCCCUACUCUAUCUAUUUUGACAAGCCAUUCUAUCUUGUAUCACUCUAUCCCAAGAGCUCUAUCUAAUUUACCAAAAAUCAAGUUUUGACUGGAAUCAAGUUUUGACUGGAAUCAAGUUUUGACUGGAAUCAAGUUUUGACUGGAAUCAAGCUUUGACUGGUCCCAGUUUUUGGGAAUUGAAGUUACCAGUACUUCAUCUAUCUGUUACAGAAUUCUGACAGAGGCUGCCCUGAGAACCCAGACUUCCUGUUUCCUGACUGCUGCAGAACAUCCAGCUGAAGAAUCCCCAUCACCUGUCAUCUGAUCACCACAC